Molecule: ribosomal RNA, 408 nt
Filed under: uncultured bacterium
Lineage: Bacteria
Description: partial 16S ribosomal RNA
Rfam family: Bacterial small subunit ribosomal RNA
Source: RNAcentral
AUUGAACGCUGGCGGCGUGCUUAACACAUGCAAGUCGAACGAAGUGGCGAACGGGUGAGUAACGCGUAAUCAACCUGCCCUUCAGAGGGGGACAACAGUUGGAAACGACUGCUAAUACCGCAUACUGAAGGCGGGGAUUGCGUCUGAUUAGCUAGUUGGAGGGGUAACGGCCCACCAAGGCGAUGAUAAGUAGCCGGUCUGAGAGGAUGAACGGCCAAAUUGGGACUGAGACACGGCCCAGACUCCUACGGGAGGCAGCAGUGGGGAAGCUUCCGAAAUGGACGAAAGUCUGACGGAGCAACGCCGCGUGAGUGAUGACGGCCUUCGGGUUGUAAAGCUCUGUUAAUCGGGACGCGGUACCGGAAUAGAAAGCCACGGCUAACUACGUGCCAGCCGCCGCGGUAAUAC